Long non-coding RNA from Beta vulgaris subsp. vulgaris (sugar beet), 262 nucleotides. RefSeq lists it as uncharacterized. The transcript is spliced from 2 exons. The record is from RefSeq and is a predicted model, not a curated record. Lineage: Eukaryota; Viridiplantae; Streptophyta; Magnoliopsida; Caryophyllales; Amaranthaceae.
AUGAACUGAUAUUUUAGGGGAGGGUAAUUUAGGUAUUAUCGUAAUGAGUAGCUUAGGGAAUAAGCUAGGUAGUUUUGUUAAGAAAAUUACUCUAUAUAUAGGGUUAAUUAGAGAGAAGAAAGGAGGUGGAAAAUUGUUGAGAAUAUUAGGGAGCUUUUAAGAGUUCAUUUGGGAGUGUGUCAAGUCACUCGAAUACUUGGCAAUCUAUCUUUAAUUUCUGUAAUUUUCAGUUUAUCAAUCAAAUCUUCAUCUUCUUCCUCAA